UACGGAGGGUGCAAGCGUUGUUCGGAAUUAUUGGGCGUAAAGCGCGUGUAGGCGGUCUGUUAAGUCUGAUGUGAAAGCCCCGGGCUCAACCCGGGAAGUGCAUUGGAAACUGGCAGACUUGAGUACGGGAGAGGGUAGUGGAAUUCCGAGUGUAGGGGUGAAAUCCGUAGAUAUUCGGAGGAACACCGGUGGCGAAGGCGGCUACCUGGACCGAUACUGACGCUGAGACGCGAAAGCGUGGGGAGCAAAC
Molecule: ribosomal RNA, 250 nt
Filed under: uncultured bacterium
Lineage: Bacteria
Description: partial 16S ribosomal RNA
Rfam family: Bacterial small subunit ribosomal RNA
Source: RNAcentral